AGUGAACGCUGGCGGUAGGCCUAACACAUGCAAGUCGAACGGCAGCACAGUAAGAGCUUGCUCUUACGGGUGGCGAGUGGCGGACGGGUGAGGAAUACAUCGGAAUCUACUUUUUCGUGGGGGAUAACGUAGGGAAACUUACGCUAAUAGCGCAUACGACCUACGGGUGAAAGCAGGGGAUCUUCGGACCUUGCGCGAUUGAAUGAGCCGAUGUCGGAUUAGCUAGUUGGCGGGGUAAAGGCCCACCAAGGCGACGAUCCGUAGCUGGUCUGAGAGGAUGAUCAGCCACACUGGAACUGAGACACGGUCCAGACUCCUACGGGAGGCAGCAGUGGGGAAUAUUGGACAAUGGGCGCAAGCCUGAUCCAGCCAUACCGCGUGGGUGAAGAAGGCCUUCGGGUUGUAAAGCCCUUUUGUUGGGAAAGAAAAGCAGCAGGUUAAUACCCCGCUGUUCUGACGGUACCCAAAGAAUAAGCACCGGCUAACUUCGUG
This 492-nucleotide ribosomal RNA is filed under the name uncultured bacterium. RNAcentral's name for it is "partial 16S ribosomal RNA". It matches the Rfam family "Bacterial small subunit ribosomal RNA", at positions 29 to 507 of the family's 1533-position model. The record is from RNAcentral.